Molecule: long non-coding RNA, 3402 nt
Filed under: Homo sapiens (human)
Lineage: Eukaryota; Metazoa; Chordata; Mammalia; Primates; Hominidae
Description: non-protein coding lnc-OR4F29-7:2
Source: RNAcentral
AGAUGGGGUCUUCUUUUGUUGCCCAGGCUGGCCACAAAUUCCUGGGCUCAAGUGAUCCUCCCACCUCGUCCUUGUAGAGAUGAGAUUUAGUUAUGUCGUCCAGGCUGAUCUCAAACUCCUGGGCUAAAUCGAUUGUCUCACCUCAGCCUCUCAAGUAUGUUAUGAAGGUUAUAUGUUAGGAAGGGUCCCAGGAGGUAAACCCACACAGAUGGGAUUUGGGCAUAGGUUUGGUUUCCCAGGGGGCAGUGCUGAGCUCUUUGCCAGUGGGAAAUGGGAUGCUGGUGAUUUCCAGUAGGUGACCUCACAGUGACUCAAGCUACCACUUACUGUUGAUUGUGACGAAAUGCCAGCUGAGGCACAUGCCUUGGGAGCUAAGUGGUUGCUGCCCUUGACCACUGUGAAGACUGGUGUGGGAAGGGUCGUUUUGGAUGCACUUGAGCAGGGGUCCCCAACCCCUGAGCCAUGGAGCCGCAAGGAGCCACACAGCAGGAGGUGGGAACAUCCAGUUGCAGGAAAACAAGCUUAACACGCCCACUGAUUCUACAUUAUGCUCCUACCUCCCGGCAGCCUCUCCAGGCCCAGAACUUUCUCCAGUCAGCCUCUACAGACCAAGCUCAUGACUCUCAAUGGCCUAUUUAGGCCCAUACCCUACGUCACGGCAGCCUCCGCAGAUGAGGCUACUGCCUCACAACAGCCUCCACAGGCACAGCUCCAUCGUUACAAUGGCCUCUUUAGACCCAGCUCCUGCCUCCCAGCCUUCUCUCCAGGCCCUGAACUUUCUCAAGUUGACCUCACCAGGCCCAGCUCAUGCUUCUUUGCAGCCUCUCCAGGCCCAGCUCCUGCAUCUUGGUGGCCCCUCCAGGCCCAGCCUCUGCCUCCCGUCAGCCUCUACAGUCCCAACGUCUGCCUCACAGCAGAUUCUUCACGCCCAGCUUCUACCUCACUGUGGACCCCCCAAGCCAAGCUCCCAACCUUUCAGCAGCUUCUACACACCCAGCUCCUGCCACCCAGUGGCCUCUUUAGGCCAAGCUCAUGCUUCACAAGGGCCUUUCCAGGCCCAACUUUUGUCUCAUGGCAACCUUCCCUGGCCAGAUUCCUGCCUGUCUCCCAGCAGCCUAGACAGGCCCAGGUCUUGCCUCACACUGGCCUCUCUACAUCCAGCUUAUGCCUCACGGUGGCCUCUCCACGGCCAACUCCUGUCCCAGGACAUCAUCUCCGGGCCCAAAACUUACUCAAGUCAGACUCUCUAGUCCCAACUGCUGCCUCCUGGUGGCCUAUGAAGGCCCAAAAUCUCCUCAAGUUGACCUGUCCAGGCCCAGCUCCUGCCUCCUGUCAGCGUCUACAGGCCCAACCUCUGCCUCAUGGGGGCUUCUCCAGGCCCACCUCUUCCUCUUGGCUGGGUCUACAGGCACAACUGCUGCCUCACAACAGCCUUUUUUGGCCCAGUUCCUGUCCAGCUAAUGGCGGCCAAUGUAGGCCCAAAACUUCCUCAAGUCAAACUCUCCAGGCCCACCUUCUGCUUCCCGGUGGCAUCAACAGGCCCAGCUUUGACUUGAGAACAGCCUCUGCAGGCCCUGCUCUUGCCUCCCAGGGGCUUUUUCCAGGCCCAGCUCUUGCCUCAUGGCAGCUGCCCCAGGCCAAAUUUCUGCCUGCCUGCCAGCAGCCUCAACAGGCACAGCUCCUCCCUCACAGUGGCCCAUUUAGGCCCAACUUAUGACUGUGAGGCCAUUUCCAGGCCUAGUGCCUGCCUCGUGGCUGACUCUUGAAGCCCAAAACUUCCUCAAAUCAGGCUUUUGCCCAACUUCUGUCUACUGUCGGACUCUACAGGUCAGCCUCUGCCUCACAGUGGACCCUCCAGACCCAGAUGGUGUCUCACUGUGGCAUCCUCAGGUGAAGCUCCUGCCUUUCGGCAGCCUCUCCAGGCCCAGCUCCUCCUGCCUCCCAGUGGCCUCUUUCGGCCCAGCCCAGCUCAUGCCUCCCGGCGGCCUUCCCAAGCCCCGCUUUUGACUUUCGGUGGCCUCUGCAGGCCUCGACAAGGCCCAGCCUCCUGCCUCCCGAAGGCCUGCACAGGCCCAGCCUCUGCCUCACAGCGGACUCUCCACGCCCAGCUAGCUGUUGCUUCACUGCGGCCUCCCGAGUCCAAAGCUCCUGCCUCUCGGCCGCUUCGGCAGGCCCAGCUCCCGCCUGCCAGUGGCCUCUUCAGGCCCAUGGGGCUCAUUCCUGACAACGGCCUUUCCAGGCCCAGUUUUUCCCUUCCAGCGGCCUCUCCGGGCCCAGAACCUCCUCAAGUCGGCCUCUCCAGACCCACUUGCACCCUCCGGGCGUUCUCUCCGGGCCCAGCUCUUCUUCCUGGUUGGGUCUCCAGGCCCGAUUCCUGCCUCUCAACAACCUCUUUGGACUCAGUGCCUACCCAUCUCCUGGCGGCCUUGGUCGGUCCACAGCUUCCUCAAGCCAAGCUCCCCAGGCCCAGGUCAGGCCUCACGGUGGCCUCUCCAGGAUGAGCUCCUGCCCUCCGAUGGCAUCUCCAGGCCCCAAAUGGUCUCCGGUCGGUGGGCUCCUCCACGCCAAGGUUGGGCCUCCCGGCGACCGCCGCAGGCCCAAGUUGUCCUGAAGUCGGGCUCUCCCGGCCCUGCCUCCCAGCAAGUAAGCAAGCUCUUUUGGCUCAACUCCUGCCCAGCUCCCAACCGCCUUUGUAGGCCCCGAACUUUCUCCAGCCAAGCUCUGAGGGCCCACCUCCUGCCUCCUGGUGGCCUGUACAGUUCUAGCACUGGUUGGAGAACAGCCUCUGCAGGCCCCGCCCUUGCCUCCCAGGGGCCUCUCCAGGCCCAGCUCUUGCCCCCACGGCGGCCUCCCGGGGCCAAGUCCCUGCCUGCCUCCCAGCAGCCCGCGUGCGGCCCAGCUCCUCCCUCACGGUGGCCUGUUGAUGCCCAACUCAUGCCUCUGGCACCCUGCCCAGAGGCGUGAGCCCCUGCCUCACACUGGCUCCUCCCACGCUGAGAGAGGUCAGUGUGAGCCCUUGCCUCACACCGGCCCCUCCCACGCGGACAGAGGUCAGCGUGAGCCCCUUGCCUCACACCGGCCCCUCCCACGCUGAGAGAGGUCAGUGUGAGCCCCUUGCCUCACACCGGCCCCUCCCACGUGGACAGAGGUCAGCGUGAGCCCCUUGUCUCACACCGGCCCCUCCCACGCUGAGAGAGGUCAGUGUGAGCCCUUGCCUCACACCGGCCCCUCCCACGCGGACAGAGGUCAGCGUGAGCCCCUUGCCUCACACCGGCCCCUCCCACGCUGAGAGAGGUCAGCCCGAGCCCCUUGCCUCACACCGGCCCCUCCCACGCUGAGAGAGGUCAGUGUGAGCCCUUGCCUCACCCCGGCCCCUCCCACGCGGACAGAGGUCAGCCUGAG